Molecule: ribosomal RNA, 327 nt
Filed under: Triticum aestivum (bread wheat)
Lineage: Eukaryota; Viridiplantae; Streptophyta; Magnoliopsida; Poales; Poaceae
Description: partial small subunit ribosomal RNA
Source: RNAcentral
AUGGCGUUCGACGAAGCGCUCGGGCGGCUGCGUGCGUUCGACGAGCGGGUUCGGCGCCGUGGACAAGACGGCGGCGAGCGCGGGGUUGAGCAGCUGCUCAUGACGGCGGCGCAGUGGGCAGCACGGGAGCGUCGACACGGCGGCGCUCGGGACGAUGACGACGGGCGCAGCGUGGCGUCGGGAAGUGGCGGCAAUAGGUGCAGGCGCUGCGACAAGUGCGGGGAGCACGGGCACUUCCGGCGAGAGUGCCCGCAGCUGCGGAAAGGACCGGCGACGGAGCAGGCUCUCUUGGCUAGCGCCAACGUCGACGACGACGGACUCCUCUAG